CGGGCUUGAACUGCGCAGGACAGGCGGAGAGAUCCGCUCUUCUUCGGACCUGCGUGGAGGUGCUGCAUGGUUGUCGUCAGCUCGUGCCGUGAGGUGUCGGCUUAAGUGCCAUAACGAGCGCAACCCUUGUCCAUAGUUGCCAUCGGGUCGUGCCGGGCACUCUAUGGAGACUGCCAUCGCAAGAUGCGAGGAAGGUGGGGAUGACGUCAAAUCAGCACGGCCCUUACGUCCGGGGCUACACACGUGUUACAAUGGGGGGAACAGAAGGCGGCUUGCCGGCGACGGUUGGCGAAUCCCCAAACCCCCUCUCAGUUCGGACUGGAGUCUGCAACCCGACUCCACGAAGCUGGAUUCGCUAGUAAUCGCGCAUCAGCCAUGGCGCGGUGAAUACGUUCCCGGGCC
Molecule: ribosomal RNA, 402 nt
Filed under: uncultured bacterium
Lineage: Bacteria
Description: bacterial SSU rRNA
Rfam family: Bacterial small subunit ribosomal RNA
Source: RNAcentral